RNAcentral lists this ribosomal RNA (393 nucleotides) under Triticum aestivum (bread wheat). RNAcentral describes it as "partial small subunit ribosomal RNA". Lineage: Eukaryota; Viridiplantae; Streptophyta; Magnoliopsida; Poales; Poaceae. The record is from RNAcentral.
AUGCUUCCCCUUUCCACUUGUAUGAGACAUGGUUGCUACCUAAUGCAAAGACGCUACAUGUGCUUAGGAACCGAGGAGACGACCAUGGAGAUGCUCGAGGCAUACGCCAAGUCCACGCGGAAGCGGAUCAAGAAGUGCCUCAAGUGGAGUCGCCGCGGAGCUACAGCGGUCGGACAUCCGGCAGGAGCCCGGACAUCCGGCGCCACCAACCAGAAGAAGACCAGAGAGACAGAAGCCAGGCGACUCUACAGCGGCCGGACAUCUGGCCGAACCCCGGACAUCCGGCGCCCUGCGACGGGCCGGACAUCCGGCGCAUGCUAUCCAAAGAGCAGAAGAAUCGGCCACUCCAGCCCGGACAUCCAGCCCAAGGCCCGAACAUCCAGCUCCCCGUGA